RNAcentral lists this non-coding RNA (27 nucleotides) under Mus musculus (house mouse). Lineage: Eukaryota; Metazoa; Chordata; Mammalia; Rodentia; Muridae. The record is from RNAcentral.
UGACAAUGCACCACAGGUCUUUUACCC